CACGACUUUUGAUACAUAUAUUUCUAUAAUGAGUUUUUUUUAACAUGUACUCUUAAGGGCACAAGUUAACAUUUGUAUUGAGACGAAUCAUUUGCUUGACAUCUUUUACUUUGUCUUACUCAGAUCUCUUGCAAUAUCAUCAAGAACUAAUGAACCAAGAGUUUCAAUAGCUUCAUUAUAGUUUUGUUCUGUCACACCAAAGCUUCCACGGCAAAAAC
Molecule: long non-coding RNA, 218 nt
Filed under: Medicago truncatula (barrel medic)
Lineage: Eukaryota; Viridiplantae; Streptophyta; Magnoliopsida; Fabales; Fabaceae
Description: long non-coding RNA (MTRU_LNC007005)
Source: RNAcentral